RNAcentral lists this unclassified non-coding RNA (161 nucleotides) under uncultured Acremonium. RNAcentral describes it as "sequence contains ITS1". Lineage: Eukaryota; Fungi; Ascomycota. The record is from RNAcentral.
CUGAGUGUUACAACUCCCAAACCCUAUGUGAACACUACCAUUCGUUGCUUCGGCGGGACCGCCCCGGCGCCUCUGCGCGCCGGAACCAGGCGCCCGCCGGGGGCCCGAAACUAUUGUUUUGUCAGUGGAAUUUUCUCUGAGUGGCAUAAGCAAAUAAAUUA